UACACUCCUACGGGAGGCAGCAGUGGGGAAUAUUGCACAAUGGGCGCAAGCCUGAUGCAGCCAUGCCGCGUGUAUGAAGAAGGCCUUCGGGUUGUAAAGUACUUUCAGCGGGGAGGAAGGCAAUACGGUUAAUAACCGUGUUGAUUGACGUUACCCGCAGAAGAAGCACCGGCUAACUCCGUGCCAGCAGCCGCGGUAAUACGGAGGGUGCAAGCGUUAAUCGGAAUUACUGGGCGUAAAGCGCACGCAGGCGGUCUGUCAAGUCGGAUGUGAAAUCCCCGGGCUCAACCUGGGAACUGCAUUCGAAACUGGCAGGCUUGAGUCUUGUAGAGGGGGGUAGAAUUCCAGGUGUAGCGGUGAAAUGCGUAGAGAUCUGGAGGAAUACCGGUGGCGAAGGCGGCCCCCUGGACAAAGACUGACGCUCAGGUGCGAAAGCGUGGGGAGCAAACAGGAUUAGAUACCCUUGUAGUCCCA
This 474-nucleotide ribosomal RNA is filed under the name uncultured organism. Its description in RNAcentral is "partial 16S ribosomal RNA". It matches the Rfam family "Bacterial small subunit ribosomal RNA", at positions 332 to 797 of the family's 1533-position model. The record is from RNAcentral.